GAUGAACGCUGGCGGCGUGCCUAAUACAUGCAAGUCGAGCGAACAGACGAGGAGCUUGCUCCUCUGACGUUAGCGGCGGACGGGUGAGUAACACGUGGAUAACCUACCUAUAAGACUGGGAUCAUUUCGGGAAACCGGAGCUAAUACCGGAUAAUAUAUUGAACCGUAUGGUUCAAUAGUGAAAGACGGUUUUGCUGUCACUUAUAGAUGGAUCCGCGCCGCAUUAGCUAGUUGGUAAGGUAACGGCUUACCAAGGCAACGAUGCGUAGCCGACCUGAGAGGGUGAUCGGCCACACUGGAACUGAGACACGGUCCAGACUCCUACGGGAGGCAGCAGUAGGGAAUCUUCCGCAAUGGGCGAAAGCCUGACGUAGCAACGCCGCGGGAGUGAUGAAGGUCUUCGGAUCGUAAAACUCUGUUAUUAGGGAAGAACAAAUGUGUAAGUAACUAUGCACGUCUUGACGGUACCUAAUCAGAAAGCCACGGCUAACUACGUG
Molecule: ribosomal RNA, 497 nt
Filed under: uncultured bacterium
Lineage: Bacteria
Description: partial 16S ribosomal RNA
Rfam family: Bacterial small subunit ribosomal RNA
Source: RNAcentral